GACGAACGCUGGCGGCGUGCUUAACACAUGCAAGUCGAACGGAAAGGCCCUGCUUUUGUGGGGUGCUCGAGUGGCGAACGGGUGAGUAACACGUGAGUAACCUGCCCUUGACUUUGGGAUAACUUCAGGAAACUGGGGCUAAUACCGGAUAGGAGCUCCUGCUGCAUGGUGGGGGUUGGAAAGUUUCGGCGGUUGGGGAUGGACUCGCGGCUUAUCAGCUUGUUGGUGGGGUAGUGGCUUACCAAGGCUUUGACGGGUAGCCGGCCUGAGAGGGUGACCGGCCACAUUGGGACUGAGAUACGGCCCAGACUCCUACGGGAGGCAGCAGUGGGGAAUAGUGCACAAUGGGCGGAAGCCUGAUGCGGCAACGCCGCGUGCGGGGUGACGGCCUUCGGGUUGUAAACCGCUGUCGCCUGUGACGAAGCGUGAGUGACGGUAAUGGGUAAAGAAGCACCGGCUAACUACGUG
RNAcentral lists this ribosomal RNA (468 nucleotides) under uncultured bacterium. RNAcentral's name for it is "partial 16S ribosomal RNA". It matches the Rfam family "Bacterial small subunit ribosomal RNA", at positions 28 to 507 of the family's 1533-position model. The record is from RNAcentral.